CGUUCAUCACGAAUAGUCGUGUCCUUUUGCCGCACUUGCCUCUUCAGUUCGUAGGACAUGUGAACAGACGUCAACUGUAGCUCAUCGGUGGCUUUUUACGUUUACCGAAUCACGAGGACACGGAGGCUUGGCUACUGUUUAUUGUAAGGUCCGACCUGGAACGUGUGGUCGAUUCCCCUUGCUUCUCUGCUCUCUUAGGUCUAGUUCAUCGGUAUUAGCAACAGAGGUUAUAUCAAGAAUUAAGAAAGCUUAACCGAGUGAAACUGCUCGCUAAGUGUUAUGUGAUAAGGCAUAUAACGGUUAGCAUAGCGCGGGAACAUGCUUCAUCUUUAACGGUAUUAUAUCGAGACUUACGACAUGGUUGGUUACGUGUAUUUUGUGUGUAAUACGUUUGAAACACGUGGUCGCAAUUCAGUCGUAGUCGCAUGUUCUAUGAGUUGUGUGAUCCUAUCUUUCUGGGAUAAGUCUUUUCGCGUGAUCAAACCGAAGCAUCUACGGAGGAAGUCUAGCACAAUCGAUAAACUUUUAUAUCGAACAUGACGAAAGUUUUUUGAACGUAUCUGCGGAACAUUUAUUUGGAUAUAACGCCAGUAUAUCUGAAUGCUUUGCUAAGACAAAUAUAUGAAUAUGGAUUGGUGGAAUAUCGAAAACACCAGAUAAUGAAUGCAAAAGGCGUUGGAAGAAUCUGUGGAAUUCUUUAUUCAAUUUCAUACUCAAGAAUAAACUUCCUCGAAGAUCUGAUACUACAAAUACAUUUACGAAAUAGUUAAUGUUUAAUUAUCUACAUUUCUUCAGUGAUGUUCCAGGGGAAGAAUGUUAAUACCAAAAUACAUGCAAAUAGCAAGGACGAAGCUUUAUCAUUUAUAGAUCAAAUUACAAACCAUAUUCUAUACAAUGCUUAAUACAAGUCAAAAAUUAAUUACUAUAUUGUCCAGUGUAUUUAUUGUUAAAUAUUGUCCCAGAACUGUCACACAUGCAAACGAAAUCGAAAUUCUCAGAUUCUGAUGAGGAAGUGAUACAUCUACUUACUUAACCCUUCAACCAUGGGAAACGUGGAAUUCGUGUUCUAAAUAUUUUGUAAGAUGUUCCUGUUUAACUGAGUUUUAACAUCUCUUGAAUAUUUUAUCAGGCUACUGUUAGUUACCAUCUAUCCCGUUAUUUAUUAGUCCCGUUAGCUGGUUAGUUUCUAUCUCAUUCUUAGGACGCAUCUGCAUAACAAAUAAAACUAACCCGCGGUUUCAUACCGAAAAAUCGAAACCUAGCCCGGGGUUAGAGGGUUAACAAGUUCGCUACCAGCGAUUAUUUCGAUGACGGUCUCCUCAAUCAUAAUAUUUGCCUCAAUCCAAUAAAUCUGUCAAACAAAAUAUUAGAAAAAUGAAUCUGAAACGAGUCAUUGAGUUCCUAAUUAUAAUGUCGUGGCUUAUAAUUUGUAAUAACAAUAUCUAUAGGAUUAAUUUCAUUUUCAUUAUGUAAAAUAUAGGAUUACGGCUGUCACAAAUAUGUGACGCUGGUAGUGAACGUGUUAAAUAGUUACAUAAACACUUCACGAACGGAGGAAGACGAAUAUUUUAAGAGCGUGGAAAAUGGAAAUCUUACAAAUUCCUUUAAAGGAUGUAUAAAAUCUGUAGCAAAAAGUUCGUUAUGAAUUGUUUAUUCUGAGCUAGAAAUGAAAUCUUUAGUAUGUUAUAAACAUUAAUAAACAUUAACGCAUUCAUGCUAAUUAAUUAAGAAUGGCCGUAUAAAUUUUCAGUACAAUGUACACUGAUUUCACUGGAAAAAUACCAUCAACAUAUACUUGUACAAGGCAGGAGAUAAACAAUAAAGAAAAUAUAUAAUUAUACAAUUAUAAUGUAUAAUUUAUGAUUGACUUCCAGUGAAAAAAGUUAAAAUAAUAGUUUAACGUCCAACGCCCUGGAAACAUAAUUUUGUCAUCUUUCACGUGGAUGCACGCGAUCUUUGACGUGGAUGCACGUCUUUUCAAAUAUUUUUUUCAACAUUUGCGACAAAGACUAUUAUUUCAAAACAAAUUUUAUAUUUUUUGUUCCUCCUAACGUCAGAAAUUUGCAGCAUUAAGUUUAAGAGUUAGGUUUUCAUCGACAAUGAGUAUUAGAAAAGUGAAAAAUUUCCUGGUUGUAAAUGCGUUAAGAUGACGUAGAACCUGCUCUUAUUGCUUUUGCUUCGUUUUUCAUUGAUAAAAUAAGAAUGAAUAAAUCAUUAUCCAUUUCUUCGGCUUGAUACUUGGCAUCUGAAUAAAUACAAGUUUAUUCGCAGCAGCAAUUCACCCUACAAUCGCCGACUGCGAUAGCUUGAAAUAAACAAAGUAAAUUAUUUAGAAUUCAUAAAACAUAUAUCAAUACAUCAACAAAGAUAUUCUAUAAAGAAAAUUAAAUAUAUAACUAAGUAUUUAACCAAAGUAAUAUAAUUCUAGCAAUGUGAGCAUGCGACAAAAUAUAGAAGUAAAAGUUAUUAAUUAUCUUGAAUAAUUUUGCUGCAUGAAUGCUGAAUUUUGUGAUGCUAAAAUGUACAUACUUUUUUAUAAUCAAUUGGUGUGAAUAUAUCAUUUAUAUUUUUAUUAAAUAAAUUAGUAUUUGUUAAAAUUACAGACCGUGCUAUAUGAUAAACUAAGUUACUCAAGAAUUUGUUUAAUUUUAUGUAUUGCACUGAUAAAAUUUCUUUCUUGUAUAUACGCUUAAUUAUAAGAUUAAUUCUACUUUGGGAGACAAAGUAAAUAUCACGAAUUCAGGAGUUUCUAUGUACGGUUGUGAUUUUAGUUCUGUGGCAGACAUUGCCUCCAUGUACUGUGCGUUACUGAUGUGAGCCAAGUCGGUCUGUGGCUCAAAAAUGAAGAGGGGCAAGAGGACUCGGUCGCACGCUCACCUCAGUUCGCGGCUCGGUCAGUUACAAAAACGCGCCGAAACUAAUUCCGCCAUUACUAUCGGGCCGAGCGCCGCGAGUGAACGUUUUUCCUUGCCCCUCUUCACUUUUAAGCCACUGGCCGACUUGGCUCACGUGAGUAACGCACUGUAUCUAUAUUUGAUAUAGGCGGAGAAUGAGAUACUGAACAUUCACAACGGUGAUAACCGUGUAUUUUACAUUAUAUCGUACGUUAUAUGUUCCUCAUUGUUUUUCAUGAAAGUGAAAUGUAAACAUGAUCUUCUUUGAGUAACUAUACAGACAGGUCUUGUUUAUUUAACUGUACUUAUUACUAGGAGUAUAGUUCAAAGUUGUCUGAUUAUUUCGUUUACUUUUAUUUGUACUAAAAGAAAAAAUUCGCAUGAAACAAUUGGUAAAUGUUUUAUAGAUAUUUAAUAACUAUUAAGGGGAACUUGAAUAACCUCUUGGCUAAUGUUAGCGUCCAUAGACGCUCAAAUCACGCUGCUCGAAAUGAACUAAAAGAGACGCCUGUGAGAUGCAGUUGAUAAUAAUUGCAGCAAAGCUCACUUGAAUCAGACGUAAAUGAAAUCUAAUUCAACAAUUACAUUUUCUGUUAGUCAUAUAUUACAUAAAUGUUAUGAUUUCAUAUUGAUUUUGUUAGUUUUGGGUUUGAUUAGCAAUAAAUAAAGAUUUUAUAACUGUAUAAUAGUUUUACGUUUAUUAAGUUUACACGAGACUUUCUUGACACGUAUAGCGAAGUCACAAUAUUCACGUUGUGGCUUGGAGUGACUAAAAAUUUGGACGUCGGUCUGCUAGCUAUGUUUAGGCUUCGUCAGAUGUACAAGAUAUUUAUAGAGUUAGGUUUACAACUUAAUGCAGCGAUAAUGCUAACAGAGCACUUCGAUAUGCAUAAUUGUUGCUUUUAGAUAGAGGUGAUGAUGAACACGUUUGCAAAUGGACGCAGGCAUGGUAUGAUGUCAUGUUGGCAACGUUGAAGAUAGAAUUAACAAAAGUGGUAGUAAUAGAAAUAAUCGUGAUAUCGAUAAUAAUAGUAGUAAUAAUAAUUAUUACCAAUAUAUAGGGUCUUUAGUAGGGUAGGAUGUAACAUUAGGAAUUGUUUAACACAUUGACUGCCACGGUGGUCACCGAUGACUGGAGCUUCUAAAUUAUUUGAAAGCAAGUACAAUAAGAACAUGGAUAUUGAAUAAAAAUAUUUAGUAACAUAAGCAGCUAGAAAAUAGUAUAAUAUGAGUACUGUAAUUCCAAAUCAUUAAUAAAGAUUUCUAAUACCAUUUGCCCUUUUUAUGGAAGAAUAAGUAUUACUACACGAAACGUUCGAAAUUCUCGUGGCAAUCAAUGUGUUAACAAGCGUUUUCAUCGCAGGCCCAUAAUGACAUUCUGUAAAUCUAAGUAAUCCUCGAGACAGUACGGUAGAAGCUAGGUUUUCACCUUGGACAUUGACAUUUUCGUGUCUGUUUCUGCUGCAAUCGUAUGUUCAUCAUUGACUGACUAUACUAUUCAGAUGGAAUAUGUACCCUAAGUCUGUGCAUUACUGGUUUGUAGCGGAUCUCAGACCAGUUUUGAAGUAGCCUGGCUAUGUCACAUAUUUUUAUCUGUGAAAUUCUUAAUUUAGUAUUAAGGUACGAAUAUAUUAUAUACCUUAACAAUUUCAUUGCAUUGUGUAUGAAAAUUACACCUUUUAAACAGUAACUAACUUUUAAGAUCCUAACUAUCUGUGUGUAACUAAAAGAUUGAAGUAAUGUAUUAAAAUAAGGGACUGAUCUUUAAGACACACGUCACUCUCAGUAAAAUUGGGAUAUACUAUUACUAUAGUAAACAUUAAUAUUAAAUAAAUAUUACUGUAGUCGGAUACUCCUGAGCAGAACAAUUUUCUAUUCAAAUUUCUCAUUUCGAGGUUAUUUUGAGUUACUGAAAUCUAAAAUCAUAAUGUUCUUUUCAUGGAAAUGAAUGGUUUUACAAAUAUAGUAUAAAGUAAUUGAAAUAUCUUUAACCUAUAUAUAUAUUAUUCUCACAGUACUUUAACUUGUUAAGGUCUAAUUUGACAAUUAUAAAGUGAAAGAGUGGGCGGGGAAGGGACUGCAACCCCUCUUCAGAAAAACACAAUUUUUAUUAUCAGAAUGAAACUUUUCUUGUAAUAACCAUUUAAAUAAUAACUAACGCGAACCAAGCUCUUCACUUUAAGCUUCUUAUUCCUUGUCAAUAUUUACCUCCAUCAGAAUACGCGUUAUUGCUUUCAAGCAACCAGUCGCCAAUAAUUCCAGCACCGUAUUCGAACAGAUAAUAAUAUUAAUAAUUAUCCAAUUUUCAGAGAUUAUUCUAGUAAUGAUAUUUAUUCUAAUCACAGUUCUUAACUCCUUGACUUAUAACCACGUGCCAAACUCAUGGUGAGGAUUUUCAAUGUGAUUUAACAAACAUAAAUAUUACUCGAUGCAUUCGAAUUUAAAGUAAAUAUUAUUCUCCUGUAAUCAAUUAUUAUAUUUAAAAGCAAACAUUGACAUAGA
This is a long non-coding RNA of Nomia melanderi (Alkali bee), 5396 nucleotides long. RefSeq lists it as uncharacterized. The record is from RefSeq and is a predicted model, not a curated record. Lineage: Eukaryota; Metazoa; Arthropoda; Insecta; Hymenoptera; Halictidae.